CAGCAGCCGCGGUAAUACCGGCAGCCCGAGUGAUGGCCGAUCUUAUUGGGCCUAAAGCGUCCGUAGCUGGCCGCGCAAGUCUAUCGGAAAAUCCACCCGCUCAACGGGUGGGCGUCCGGUAGAAACUGCGUGGCUUGGGACCGGAAGGCGCGACGGGUACGUCCGGGGUAGGAGUGAAAUCCUGUAAUCCUGGACGGACCACCAAUGGCGAAAGCACGUCCCGAGGACGGAUCCGACAGUGAGGGACGAAAGCCAGGGUCUCGAACCGGAUUAGAUACCCGGGUAGUCCUGGCUGUAAACAAUGUCUGUUAGGUGUGGCUCCCACUACGAGUGGGUGCUGUGCCGUAGGGAAGCCGCUAAGCAGACCGCCUGGGAAGUGCGUCCGCAAGGAUGAAACUUAAAGGAAUUGGCGGGGGAGCACUACAACCGGAGGAGCCUGCGGUUUAAUUGGACUCAACGCCGGACAUCUCACCAGGUUCGACUGUAAUAAUGACGAUCAGGUUGAUGACCUUAUCCGAGUUUCAGAGAGGAGGUGCAUGGCCGCCGUCAGCUCGUACCGUGAGGCGUCCUGUUAAGUCAGGCAACGAGCGAGACCGGCAUCCUUACUUGCCAGCAGCACUGCGAAGUGGCUGGGACAGUAGGGAGACCGCCGUGGCCAACACGGAGGAAGGAACGGGCAACGGUAGGUCAGUAUGCCCCGAAUGCGCUGGGCAACACGCGGGCUACAAUGGUCGAGACAAAGGGUUCCAACUCCGAAAGGAGACGGUAAUCUCAGAAACUCGAUCGUAGUUCGGAUUGUGGGCUGCAACUCGCCCACAUGAAGCUGGAUUCGGUAGUAAUCGCGUGUCAUAAGCGCGCGGUGAAUACGUCCCUGCUCCUUGCACACACCGCCCGUCAAAGCACCCGAGUGAGGUCCGGAUGAGGCUCGUUACACGAGUCGAAUCUGGGCUUCGCAAGGGGGCUUAAGUCGUAACAAGGUAGCCGUA
Molecule: ribosomal RNA, 986 nt
Filed under: uncultured archaeon DEEP-1
Lineage: Archaea; Methanobacteriati; Methanobacteriota; Halobacteria; Halobacteriales; Haloferacaceae
Description: bacterial SSU rRNA
Rfam family: Archaeal small subunit ribosomal RNA
Source: RNAcentral